CAGAUAAUAAUUUAAUUUAAAAUAUUGACAUUGGAAGUCAACUAUCAAGCUUGCUUGUUAUCUGA
RNAcentral lists this transfer RNA (65 nucleotides) under Nierstraszella lineata. RNAcentral describes it as "tRNA-Pro". The record is from RNAcentral. Lineage: Eukaryota; Metazoa; Mollusca; Polyplacophora; Lepidopleurida; Nierstraszellidae.